This 148-nucleotide non-coding RNA is filed under the name Chlorocebus sabaeus (green monkey). The record is from Rfam by way of RNAcentral. Lineage: Eukaryota; Metazoa; Chordata; Mammalia; Primates; Cercopithecidae.
GCCAGGUGUGGUGGCUCACACCUGUAGUCCCAACUACUCGGGAGGCUGAGGCAGAAGAAUCGCUUGAACCCAGGAGGCGGAGUUUGCAGUGAACUGAGAUGAUGCCACUGCACUCUAGCCUGGGUGACAGAGCGAGACUCCGUCUCAA